This 76-nucleotide transfer RNA is filed under the name Spongiactinospora rosea. RNAcentral describes it as "Sphaerisporangium sp. LHW63015 tRNA-Val". The record is from RNAcentral. Lineage: Bacteria; Bacillati; Actinomycetota; Actinomycetes; Streptosporangiales; Streptosporangiaceae.
AGCCGCAGGCCAGCGGACAGUCCGAACUACCUUGACACGGUAGAGGUCACUGGUUCAAUCCCAGUAUCGCCCACCA